This 575-nucleotide ribosomal RNA is filed under the name Trichocomaceae sp. D3-8-4. RNAcentral describes it as "eukaryotic LSU rRNA". It matches the Rfam family "Eukaryotic large subunit ribosomal RNA", at positions 58 to 648 of the family's 3401-position model. The record is from RNAcentral. Lineage: Eukaryota; Fungi; Ascomycota; Eurotiomycetes; Eurotiales; Trichocomaceae.
AAAGAAACCAACAGGGAUUGCCUCAGUAACGGCGAGUGAAGCGGCAAGAGCUCAAAUUUGAAAGCUGGCCCCUUCGGGGUCCGCAUUGUAAUUUGCAGAGGAUGCUUCGGGAGCGGUCCCCAUCUAAGUGCCCUGGAACGGGCCGUCAUAGAGGGUGAGAAUCCCGUAUGGGAUGGGGUGUCCGCGCCCGUGUGAAGCUCCUUCGACGAGUCGAGUUGUUUGGGAAUGCAGCUCUAAAUGGGUGGUAAAUUUCAUCUAAAGCUAAAUAUUGGCCGGAGACCGAUAGCGCACAAGUAGAGUGAUCGAAAGAUGAAAAGCACUUUGAAAAGAGAGUUAAAAAGCACGUGAAAUUGUUGAAAGGGAAGCGCUUGCGACCAGACUCGCCCGCGGGGUUCAGCCGGCAUUCGUGCCGGUGUACUUCCCCGUGGGCGGGCCAGCGUCGGUUUGGGCGGCCGGUCAAAGGCCCUCGGAAUGUAACGCCUCUCGGGGCGUCUUAUAGCCGAGGGUGCCAUGCGGCCAGCCCGGACCGAGGAACGCGCUUCGGCUCGGACGCUGGCAUAAUGGUCGUAAGCGAC